Molecule: unclassified non-coding RNA, 329 nt
Filed under: soil metagenome
Description: partial contains 5.8S ribosomal RNA, internal transcribed spacer 2, and large subunit ribosomal RNA
Rfam family: 5.8S ribosomal RNA (bases 1-120)
Source: RNAcentral
GAUGAAGAACGUAGCGAAAUGCGAUAAGUAAUGUGAAUUGCAGAAUUCAGUGAAUCAUCGAAUCUUUGAACGCACAUUGCGCCCUCUGGUAUUCCGGGGGGCAUGCCUGUUCGAGCGUCAUUAUAACCACUCAAGCUCUCGCUUGGUAUUGGAGUUCGCGAUCUCUCGGCUCCUAAAAUCAGUGGCGGUGCCUGUCGGCUCUACGCGUAGUAAUACUCCUCGCGAUUGAGUCCGGUAGGUUUACUUGCCAGCAACCCCCAAUUUUUACAGGUUGACCUCGGAUCAGGUAGGGAUACCCGCUGAACUUAAGCAUAUCAAUAAGCGGAGGA